UAGUUAAAUAACAAAACUACUCGCCAGAGAACUACUAGCCACUGCUUAAAACUCAAAGGACUUGGCGGUGCCCUAGACCCUCCUAGAGGAGCCUGUUCUAUAAUCGAUAAACCACGAUACACCUCACCCCUUCUAGCUUUACAGUCUAUAUACCGCCAUCGUCAGCUCACCCCAAUAGGGCUCAAAAGUGAGCAAGAUCAUUAAACCAUAAAAACGUUAGGUCAAGGUGUAGCAUAUGAAGGGGGAAGCAAUGGGCUACAUUUUCUACAAUAGAACAUAACGAAUUGUCUAUUGAAACAUAGACAUGAAGGAGGAUUUAGUAGUAAAUUAAGAAUAGAGAGCUUAAUUGAAAUAGGUAAUAGGGUGCGUACACACCGCCCGUCACCCUCCUCAAUAGCAAUAGGGUGCGUACACACCGCCCGUCACCCUCCUCAAUAAAGUAACCUUCCAUA
Molecule: ribosomal RNA, 452 nt
Filed under: Pseudantechinus macdonnellensis (fat-tailed pseudantechinus)
Lineage: Eukaryota; Metazoa; Chordata; Mammalia; Dasyuromorphia; Dasyuridae
Description: partial 12S ribosomal RNA
Rfam family: Bacterial small subunit ribosomal RNA
Source: RNAcentral